This 253-nucleotide ribosomal RNA is filed under the name uncultured bacterium. RNAcentral's name for it is "partial 16S ribosomal RNA". It matches the Rfam family "Bacterial small subunit ribosomal RNA", at positions 524 to 776 of the family's 1533-position model. The record is from RNAcentral.
UACGAAGGGAGCUAGCGUUGUUCGGAAUUACUGGGCGUAAAGCGCACGUAGGCGGAUUUUUAAGUCAGGGGUGAAAUCCCAAGGCUCAACCUUGGAACUGCCUUUGAUACUGGAAGUCUCGAGAUCGGGAGAGGUGAGUGGAAUUCCUAGUGUAGAGGUGAAAUUCGUAGAUAUUAGGAAGAACACCAGUGGCGAAGGCGGCUCACUGGCCCGAUACUGACGCUGAGGUGCGAAAGCGUGGGGAGCAAACAGG